AGUGAACGCUGGCGGUAGGCCUAACACAUGCAAGUCGAACGGCAGCACAGUAAGAGCUUGCUCUUACGGGUGGCGAGUGGCGGACGGGUGAGGAAUACAUCGGAAUCUACUUUUUCGUGGGGGAUAACGUAGGGAAACUUACGCUAAUACCGCAUACGACCACGGGUGAAAGCAGGGGAUCUUCGGACCUUGCGCGAAUGAAUGAGCCGAUGUCGGAUUAGCUAGUUGGCGGGGUAAAGGCCCACCAAGGCGACGAUCCGUAGCUGGUCUGAGAGGAUGAUCAGCCACACUGGAACUGAGACACGGUCCAGACUCCUACGGGAGGCAGCAGUGGGGAAUAUUGGACAAUGGGCGCAAGCCUGAUCCAGCCAUACCGCGUGGGUGAAGAAGGCCUUCGGGUUGUAAAGCCCUUUUGUUGGGAAAGAAAAGCAGCAGGUUAAUACCCCGCUGUUCUGACGGUACCCAAAGAAUAAGCACCGGCUAACUUCGUG
Molecule: ribosomal RNA, 491 nt
Filed under: uncultured bacterium
Lineage: Bacteria
Description: partial 16S ribosomal RNA
Rfam family: Bacterial small subunit ribosomal RNA
Source: RNAcentral